Molecule: ribosomal RNA, 496 nt
Filed under: uncultured bacterium
Lineage: Bacteria
Description: partial 16S ribosomal RNA
Rfam family: Bacterial small subunit ribosomal RNA
Source: RNAcentral
GAUGAACGCUGGCGGCGUGCCUAAUACAUGCAAGUCGAGCGAACAGACGAGGAGCUUGCUCCUCUGACGUUAGCGGCGGACGGGUGAGUAACACGUGGAUAACCUACCUAUAAGACUGGGAUAACUUCGGGAAACCGGAGCUAAUACCGGAUAAUAUAUUGAACCGCAUGGUUCAAUAGUGAAAGACGGUUUUGCUGUCACUUAUAGAUGGAUCCGCGCCGCAUUAGCUAGUUGGUAAGGUAACGGCUUACCAAGGCAACGAUGCGUAGCCGACCUGAGAGGGGGAUCGGCCACACUGGAACUGAGACCCGGUCCAGCCUCCUACGGGAGGCAGCAGUAGGGAAUCUUCCGCAAUGGGCGAAAGCUUGACGGAGCAACGCCGCGUGAGUGAUGAAGGUCUUCGGAUCGUAAAACGCUGUUAUUAGGGAAGAACAAAUGUGUAAGUAACUAUGCACGUCUUGACGGUACCUAAUCAGAAAGCCACGGCUAACUACGU